This 427-nucleotide ribosomal RNA is filed under the name uncultured beta proteobacterium. RNAcentral's name for it is "bacterial SSU rRNA". It matches the Rfam family "Bacterial small subunit ribosomal RNA", at positions 355 to 774 of the family's 1533-position model. Lineage: Bacteria; Pseudomonadati; Pseudomonadota; Betaproteobacteria. The record is from RNAcentral.
UGGGGAAUUUUGGACAAUGGGGGCAACCCUGAUCCAGCAAUGCCGCGUGUGCGAAGAAGGCCUUCGGGUUGUAAAGCACUUUUGUUCGGGAAGAAAGCGCCUGGGUGAAUAUCCUGGGUGGAUGACGGUACCGGAAGAAUCAGCACCGGCUAACUACGUGCCAGCAGCCGCGGUAAUACGUAGGGUGCAAGCGUUAAUCGGAAUUACUGGGCGUAAAGCGUGCGCAGGCGGUUGGUUAAGACAGAUGUGAAAUCCCCGGGCUCAACCUGGGAACUGCAUUUGUGACUGGCCAGCUAGAGUAUGGCAGAGGGGGGUGGAAUUCCACGUGUAGCAGUGAAAUGCGUAGAGAUGUGGAGGAACACCGAUGGCGAAGGCAGCCCCUGGGCCAAUUACUGACGCUCAUGCACGAAAGCGUGGGGAGCAAACA